RNAcentral lists this ribosomal RNA (301 nucleotides) under uncultured bacterium. RNAcentral describes it as "partial 16S ribosomal RNA". It matches the Rfam family "Bacterial small subunit ribosomal RNA", at positions 509 to 807 of the family's 1533-position model. The record is from RNAcentral.
CAGUAGCCGCGGGAAUACAGAGGGUGCAAGCGUUAAUCGGAAUUACUGGGCGUAAAGCGCGCGUAGGUGGUUCGCCAAGUUGGAUGUGAAAUCCCCAAGCUCAACCUGGGAACUGCAUCCAAAACUGGCGAGCUAGAGUAUGGUAGAGGGUGGUGGAAUUUCCUGUGUAGCGGUGAAAUGCGUAGAUAUAGGAAGGAACAUCAGUGGCGAAGGCGACCACCUGGACUGAUACUGACACUGAGGUGCGAAAGCGUGGGGAGCAAACAGGAUUAGAUACCCCUGUAGUCCCUGUCUCUUAUAC